This 256-nucleotide ribosomal RNA is filed under the name uncultured bacterium. RNAcentral's name for it is "partial 16S ribosomal RNA". It matches the Rfam family "Bacterial small subunit ribosomal RNA", at positions 524 to 776 of the family's 1533-position model. The record is from RNAcentral.
UACGAAGGGGGCUAGCGUUGCUCGGAAUCAUUGGGCGUAAAGGGCGCGUAGGCGGCGCAGUUGGUCAGGCGUGAAAUCCCCGGGCUCAACCCAGGGACUGCGCUUGAUACGGCUGUGCUCGAGGAUGGAAGAGGGCCGCGGAAUUCCCAGUGUAGAGGUGAAAUUCGUAGAUAUAGGGAAGAACACCAAUAAAGGCGAAGGCAGUUAACUAUUCUAUUCCUGACAUUGAGGCAUGAAAGCGUGGGGAGCAAAACGG